Molecule: long non-coding RNA, 4324 nt
Organism: Manis javanica (Malayan pangolin)
Lineage: Eukaryota; Metazoa; Chordata; Mammalia; Pholidota; Manidae
Source: RefSeq, a predicted model, not a curated record
AGAAUCGUAGGUACACUCUAAGACCAACUGCGUGAGGAGACAGUGGGGCCGGCCGCCCUCUGCACUGCUACUAUUUUCUAGUUCCAGCUCUAGCUACCCUUUAGCGACAACGAAUGCAGACCUGAGCUGUAACCACCCAGCUGUGCUCUCUCUGAAUUCUGGAAUCACAGAGUGCAAAUGAGACAAUACAGUGUUUACCAGCCACACAGGAUGACUGUGGUGUACUGUCAAUCCCUGAGAGACUGUUUUGCUGGUUGAGGAUAAGUGCUACACAUACAAACUACAAACCCAGGUGAGGUGGGAGGAGGUCGUGGAGAGGACGCGCCUGCCCGCUGACCUGAGAGCUGCACCGCCCAGUGGGAGGUGCCUUGCCUCCACCCGGCCUUGCAAGUUUUUUCACUGAAGCCAUUUCAAGGACUAACCUGGAGAGAGCAAGGUGGUGAGACCAGGGGGCCUGUGAAGGAGACUGAACCCCGUUAAGGCCUCUGUAUAAACUUUUAAGAUUCUGACACAAGUGCGGAAAUCUCAUCUUCGCGCUGCGAAGACAUGCCUUGGAGGUAAGCGUCGGCACUUAUGACACCUGCGGCCCACCUGCGUGGAGCGGCCCUGCUCUUUCUUCCGUCUCUCCUGCGCCCUGUGUACGGGAUCCGGUUCCACAUUUCACCCGAGAGCUCCUGAGGUUGUGAACCAACACAGGCCACAUAAAUAAUUUUUCCACUUCAUUAUUAAUAUGCAUUUUGGUUGUUUAGAAAUAGAGGUUUUGUUUGGCCAUAAAGCCAGAGCACACUAGGGUUUAGAAAUUGCCAAAGGAUUUUGCAGCGUGGUUGAACCAGUUUAUAUUGCUACCAACAGUGCAUAUUUCAUUUGCUUCAUUUCCUUGCCAGGACUUGAUGUUAUCUGAUUUUUGCCUAUUUUUCUGUUGGAUUUUCUAUUUAUCUUUGUAUUGAUUUGUUGCAAUUUUUAAUAUAACAUGCCUACAAGGCCUUUACCAGACACAUAUACGGUACAUACCUUCUUCCAAUCUGUCUUGACCUUUAUUUCUUUCAAUGUUAUCUUUAUUUGAAUGAAGUCCAAAUUACCAUUUUUAGAAAAUUUUAUUUUGAAAGUGAAGUGAGCCAGCUGAAACCACCUAAAUCCAAUAAUGCAAAUUAGCAUAACAGGUAAGAAGACAUAUUAACAUCGGGUACCCUCUAAUACAACUCACUGAGUAGGAAAUAGCCCUCUUUGGUCUUAAGAAAAAUGAGUAACACAGUUUAAUUAAGCGAAUACAUCAAGUGAACUCAAAUAGAGGCACGUUAUGCAAAGUAAUUUACACAGUAGUCUUCAAAAGUGUCAGAAGUACUGAAAAAAAAAGGAAAAUUUGAGAAAUGGUUAGGUGGUUUCUGUUGGCACUCUUCACUGUAAACAGUAAUGUUGUAGUUACUGUUUUUCUACUUGUAUUUAAUAACUUUUGGAGGAGAUACUUUAAAGUGAAGCAAACAUGCUGUGCUUUAACUCAUCAUUUUCACAUCUGUUACUACAAAGAUUGCAAAACAAUUUGUCCUGCAAAUUUUGCCUGCAAAAAUUAUUGCUGUGACCUUUAAGCAGAUUUUCUAUUUCUCAAAUUUCUUCCUCAUUUAUUAGUCAUUUAUAAUUGGUGCUUUUUGAGGCUUUGUUUAAAAAAUUAUUGGCCCUUCUCAAGCUUAUGUAUAUAUUAACUCCUGUUUAUGGUCAAUAAACUUGAUAGUUUUAUUUUCAUAUUUAAACUACCAUUCAAAGGUUUAAUUAAUUUUUAUGUAUUUUGUGAGUUUGGGGUCAGAAUUUUUUUUCCAUAUGGAAAUCUGCAUUAACUUAGCAUUAUUAGGAAGCCCCUUGCAUUGUGUGCCACCUUUGUCAUAAAUUUAGUAUGAGUCUCUGCGCAGGUUUAUUUCUGGUCUUUGUUCUUUUCUGUUUAUUUGACAUCUUUCAUUCUCUUUAUUCCUUACUAUGUAAUGAUUUUCGAUGCCAUUUCAAAUGAUAAUACUCUUAUAGUUUCAUAUUGUCUUGCCAAUGGGUUUCAGCCUUGACAAGUUCCUUAUGGAUUCAGUGUGACCAAAGAAAAUGACAGCAAAAUGAUCUUUGGGGUGAAAGGGUUUAUUACUCGGCUUGUUUUCCCUGCAGUAGGUCAAGCACUAGCAUCUCUGCCCCCUUCCAAAGCACUGGGCCAAGGUCUCUAUAUAGGGCAAUAAUAGUUUAUUGCCUAAAGGCAUGGAAGCAGUAGCCUAGCAACAGGCCGGUUACAUCAUUAGGUGGUUUAAGUUCAGUGAGGAUCCUGCCCAUAGGAACCCCAAGUUCCCCACAAUAUUCUAAUUAUUUGUUUUUCUACAGCAAUACUUUUUUUAAAUGUAUAUACUGACUUCAAAUCUAGGGAUCUUCCUAAUUCUGCUCUCAUAGGUUUUCUGUAUAUUCUUCUGGAUUUUCUUCAGUUCUAUUUUCUCUAUUUGAUUUUUGUACAUUUUAUUUUUUCUUUCAGUUCUACUUUGCUGGAAACUCAAAAUAUAACUAGAAGUAGUGAUAUGAAAUUUGCCUCAUUCCAAUUUUCAGAGAAAGCCUUUACUCUUUCACUAUUUAGUAUUUUUGCUACAAAGACUUAGUUGAAAUUAUGUAACUCUUUCAACUCAAGUAAUAUUCCUUGUUUUCCAGUUUGCUAAGUUUUUUUCAUAAGUGAGUGUUAAAUUACAUAAAAUCUGUUUAAUCAUUGUCUAUGAAGCAUCUGAAUUUUUUCUUUUUUGAGAAUCUGAAAAAUUAUGUUGAUGAUUUUUAAAAUGUUACAUCACCCUUAUAUUCUUGGAUUAAAUCUAAUUUUGUUGUUAUGUUUGUAAUGCUUUGUUAUAAUAUUUUUGUUUGCUAACUUUUGUUGUAUAUUUUACAUCAAUGUUGAAUGAGAUUGGCAGUAGUUUUAGUGUUGUUAAAAUCUACAGUGAUCUUGCCUGUAUCAUUAUUAAUAUGAGUAAUGUAUAUCUUCUUUAUCUUUAGUUAGUGUUGAUACAGGUCAGCAUAUUUAUUUUUCUGUAACAAAUAUUUGGUUAUUAUAUAUUUGAUUUUUACUGCAGUGAUUCAUUGAUUUUCAUUCAUUUUAAAAGUGAGUUGUCAUUCUUACUGUUGCAUGAUUGAAGACAAUGUGUCCUUUUUCUAUAGCUACAAUGAGAUUGUCUUUAUCUAUGGUUAUUAGUAGUUUUUCUGUCAUGUGCCUUGUUGUAAUUUUUUAAAAUUUAUUUUUCCUACUUGGGGCUUAUCAUAUUUGAUGUAUUUCAUUAAUUUCAAGAAAAUCUUAGCCUUUUUCUGUCCAAAUAUGUCUCUGUUCAAUUUUCUCCUCCUUCUGAGACUCCAGUUUUACGUAAUAUAUAAUUUUUUAGAUAAAAGUGAAAUGUAUAUAAUUUUACAUGGAAAAGUGACAUGUAGUUUUAUAUGUAGAAGUAACAUAUAUGACAUAUAUAGAUCACAUACCCUUUUUGAUUUACUCUGUUUUCAUCUGUAUUUUUCUCAUGCUUUAGUUUGGAUGUAUUCUAGUAUUAUUUCUUAGUUCACUGAAACUUUUCUCAGUAAUGUCCAAUCUGCUGAUAAAUACAUAUAUUGAGUUCUUAAACUCAGUACUGUAUUUUUGCUCUCUAUAGAGUUUCAGUUAAAUUCUUUUUUUCAAAAUUAAUUCUAGUUCUUUAAAUGAUCAGUCUCAUCAUCUAUUUUCUUGAAUUUGUUAACCAUUUUAUUUUGAAGCAAUUCAGUGUAUUAUAUUUAUAACUGAUGAUCAUUUCUCUGGUCAUCCACUGACAUGCUAAUAAAUCGUUCAUCACCAUUGCUCUAAUUAUGUGUUGAAGUAAUGUAUUAUUGUAGGGCAUUUCCUAGAGACAGACACACUUUGUACUGGAUUUUUGAAUAAUUAUUUAUUUAAAAGUUUGGAAGGGAGGUGAAAUAUAAAAUCUAAAAUAAUUUAAUGGAUUAUUAAGUACAUGAAGAUUGGGGUUCACUUACCUGUUUUCUAAUUUAUGAAGUCAUGAUUUGUUGAAGUGGAGAUAGAGCUGGUGAAAAAAUAUUGUAGUAGUAAUAGCUAUAAAUUGCUUUAAUGGGCUUUAUAUCUUAUUCAAGUGAUUAAAGCAUGUUAAUUUCAAAUUUUGUAGUUCUACAAGUCAUUUGGAACUGAGUGUAUUAUUGAGUGGAAAUAAAUAUGAUUUAGUCAUUAAAAUUAGACUAGCAGCAUUGACCUUAAACCUGGACCAGAGAAAUAAAGCUGUGUGUGAUUUUAAUGGUACCAGUCACAGGUCUAUAGUUUAUUUAAAAAAAAAGAACUCUGCUUUUCCUCCCUAAUACU